UACGUAGGUGGCAAGCGUUGUCCGGAAUUAUUGGGCGUAAAGGGCUCGCAGGCUGUUCCUUAGGUCUGAUGUGAAAUCUUGCGGCUUAACCGUAAGCGGUCAUUGGAAACUGGGGGACUUGAGUGCAGAAGAGGAGAGUGGAAUUCCACGUGUAGCGGUGAAAUGCGUAGUGAUGUGGAGGAACACCAGUGGCGAAGGCGACUCUCUGGUCUGUAACUGACGCUGAGGCGCGAAAGCGUGGGGAGCGAACAGG
RNAcentral lists this ribosomal RNA (253 nucleotides) under uncultured bacterium. Its description in RNAcentral is "partial 16S ribosomal RNA". It matches the Rfam family "Bacterial small subunit ribosomal RNA", at positions 524 to 776 of the family's 1533-position model. The record is from RNAcentral.